Molecule: ribosomal RNA, 320 nt
Filed under: Klebsiella pneumoniae
Lineage: Bacteria; Pseudomonadati; Pseudomonadota; Gammaproteobacteria; Enterobacterales; Enterobacteriaceae
Description: partial 23S ribosomal RNA
Rfam family: Bacterial large subunit ribosomal RNA
Source: RNAcentral
UUAGAACGUCGUGAGACAGUUCGGUCCCUAUCUGCCGUGGGCGCUGGAGAAUUGAGGGGGGCUGCUCCUAGUACGAGAGGACCGGAGUGGACGCAUCACUGGUGUUCGGGUUGUCAUGCCAAUGGCAUUGCCCGGUAGCUAAAUGCGGAAGAGAUAAGUGCUGAAAGCAUCUAAGCACGAAACUUGCCCCGAGAUGAGUUCUCCCUGAGACUUUAAGUCUCCUGAAGGAACGUUAAAGACGAUGACGUUGAUAGGCCGGGUGUGUAAGCGCAGCGAUGCGUUGAGCUAACCGGUACUAAUGAACCGUGAGGCUUAACCUU